GACAGAGGGUGCAAACGUUGUUCGGAUUUACUGGGCGUAAAGCGCGUGUAGGCGGCUUUGCAAGUCGGAUGUGAAAUCCCACGGCUCAACCGUGGAAGUGCAUCCGAAACUGCGUCGCUGGAGUCUCGGAGAGGAAGGUGGAAUGCUUGGUGUAGAGGUGAAAUUCGUAGAUAUCAAGCAGAACACCUGCGGCGAAGGCGGCCUUCUGGACGAUGACUGACGCUGAGACGCGAAAGCGUGGGGAGCAAACAGG
RNAcentral lists this ribosomal RNA (253 nucleotides) under uncultured bacterium. RNAcentral describes it as "partial 16S ribosomal RNA". It matches the Rfam family "Bacterial small subunit ribosomal RNA", at positions 524 to 776 of the family's 1533-position model. The record is from RNAcentral.